UGGGGAAUAUUGCACAAUGGGGGAAACCCUGAUGCAGCGACGCCGCGUGAGCGAAGAAGGUUUUCGAAUCGUAAAGCUCUGUCCUAUGAGAAGAUAAUGACGGUAUCAUAGGAGGAAGCCCCGGCUAAAUACGUGCCAGCAGCCGCGGUAAUACGUAUGGGGCGAGCGUUGUCCGGAAUUAUUGGGCGUAAAGGGUACGUAGGCGGUCUAUUAAGUCAGGUGUGAAAGCGUGAGGCUUAACCUCAUUAAGCACUUGAAACUGAUAGACUUGAGUGAAGGAGAGGAAAGUGGAAUUCCUAGUGUAGCGGUGAAAUGCGUAGAUAUUAGGAGGAAUACCGGUGGCGAAGGCGACUUUCUGGACUUUUACUGACGCUAAGGUACGAAAGCGUGGGGAGCAAACAGG
Molecule: ribosomal RNA, 403 nt
Filed under: Verrucomicrobiota bacterium
Lineage: Bacteria; Pseudomonadati; Verrucomicrobiota
Description: Verrucomicrobia bacterium partial 16S ribosomal RNA
Rfam family: Bacterial small subunit ribosomal RNA
Source: RNAcentral